CACUCUAGAGAGACUGCCAGGGAUAACCUGGAGGAAGGUGGGGAUGACGUCAAAUCAUCAUGCCCCUUAUGCUUAGGGCUACACACGUGCUACAAUGGGUAGUACAGAGGGUUGCCAAGCCGUAAGGUGGAGCUAAUCCCUUAAAGCUACUCUUAGUUCGGAUUGUAGGCUGAAACUCGCCUACAUGAAGCUGGAGUUACUAGUAAUCGCAGAUCAGAAUGCUUCGGUGAAUGCGUUCCCGGGUCUUGUACACACCGCCCGUCACACCACGGGAGUUGGAGACGCCCGAAGCCGAUUAUCUAACCUUUUGGAAGAAGUCGUCGAAGGUGGAAUCAAUAACUGGGGUGAAGUCGUAACAAGGUAGCCGUAUCGGAAGGUGCGGCUGGAUCACCUCCUUUCUAAGGAGA
Molecule: ribosomal RNA, 407 nt
Filed under: Clostridioides difficile
Lineage: Bacteria; Bacillati; Bacillota; Clostridia; Peptostreptococcales; Peptostreptococcaceae
Description: bacterial SSU rRNA
Rfam family: Bacterial small subunit ribosomal RNA
Source: RNAcentral